RNAcentral lists this ribosomal RNA (497 nucleotides) under uncultured bacterium. Its description in RNAcentral is "partial 16S ribosomal RNA". It matches the Rfam family "Bacterial small subunit ribosomal RNA", at positions 28 to 507 of the family's 1533-position model. The record is from RNAcentral.
GAUGAACGCUGGCGGCGUGCCUAAUACAUGCAAGUCGAGCGAACAGACGAGGAGCUUGCUCCUCUGACGUUAGCGGCGGACGGGUGAGUAACACGUGGAUAACCUACCUAUAAGACUGGGAUAACUUCGGGAAACCGGAGCUAAUACCGGAUAAUAUAUUGAACCGCAUGGUUCAAUAGUGAAAGACGGUUUUGCUGUCACUUAUAGAUGGAUCCCCGCCGCAUUAGCUAGUUGGUAAGGUAACGGGUUACCAAGGCAACGAUGCGUAGCCGACCGGAGAGGGUGAUCGGCCACACUGGAACUGAGACACGGUCCAGACUCCUACGGGAGGCAGCAGUAGGGAAUCUUGCGCAAUGGGCGAAAGCCUGACGGAGCAACGCCGCGUGAGUGAUGAAGGUCUUCGGAUCGUAAAACUCUGUUAUUAGGGAAGAACAAAUGUGUAAGUAACUAUGCACGUCUUGACGGUACCUAAUCAGAAAGCCACGGCUAACUACGUG